AUUGAACGCUGGCGGCAGGCCUAACACAUGCAAGUCGAGCGAGCGGCGGACGGGUGAGUAAUGUAUGGGGACUGCCCGAUAGAGGGGGAUAACUACUGGAAACGGUGGCUAAUACCGCAUACUAUCGGAUAACCCAUAUGGGAUUAGCUAGUAGGUGGGGUAAAGGCUCACCUAGGCGACGAUCUGUAGCUGGUCUGAGAGGAUGAUCAGCAACACUGAGAGUGAGACACGUCCCAGACUCCUACGGAGGCAGCAGUAGUGAAUAGUUCACAAUGGGCGCAAGCCUGAUCCAGCCAUGCCGCUUGUAUGAAGAAGGCCUUAGGUUUGUAAAGUACUUUCAUCGGGGAGGCGUUCCCCGCAGAAGAAGCACCGGCUAACUCCGUGCCAGCCGCCGCAGUAAUAC
RNAcentral lists this ribosomal RNA (403 nucleotides) under uncultured bacterium. Its description in RNAcentral is "partial 16S ribosomal RNA". It matches the Rfam family "Bacterial small subunit ribosomal RNA", at positions 30 to 526 of the family's 1533-position model. The record is from RNAcentral.